Molecule: small RNA, 107 nt
Filed under: Marmota monax (woodchuck)
Lineage: Eukaryota; Metazoa; Chordata; Mammalia; Rodentia; Sciuridae
Source: RNAcentral
GCUGGGUACACAAGUCGUGUCUCAGGUCCUCGGAGGCUGAAGCAGGAGGAUCACUUGAGUCCAGGGGUUCAGAGCUGCCUGAGCAACACGGUGAGAGCCUGCCUCAC